Long non-coding RNA from Myotis davidii, 836 nucleotides. RefSeq lists it as uncharacterized. The transcript is spliced from 2 exons. The record is from RefSeq and is a predicted model, not a curated record. Lineage: Eukaryota; Metazoa; Chordata; Mammalia; Chiroptera; Vespertilionidae.
AAGAAAGGAGGCAACGUGCCCACCUUCACCUGGCGGCUGUGCUCGCUGACAGACCCUUGAGCAAGCGGAGGUGGAGGGAGGGGGUGGCCUGGUGGUGACCCCCAUCUUCCUGCAGGUCAUCGACAUCCUGAGGGGGAAAGCCACGCGUCCUGCGCCUGCGUCACAGCCAGAGCCCUCCCCUGACCGGAGUGCCACCACCUCCCCCGAGAGCAGCAGCCGCCUCAGCUCCAAUGGUCUUCUCUCUGCAUCACCAUCCUCCUCGCCUUCCCAGUCUCCUCCCAAGGAUCCCCUUGGAUUUCCCAUGGCUCCCCCCAAUUUCUUCCUCUCUCCCUCAUCUCCACCUGCCUUCCUGCCCUUUGUCGGGGUCCUCCAAGCCCCUGGCCGGCCGGUGCCUCCCCCGCCAGCUCCAGGAGGCAGCUGAGAGAAAUGGGGGGGCAGAUCUUGGACUCAUGAGGAGGGACCUCCCUGCCCUUGUGGCGUCAGCCCUCCUGGAAACUGUGAAGAUCUCACUCUGCCCCCCCCCCCAUCUUCAAACCAGGAUUUGCACAUGCAUUUGCCCCCUCUUUUGAGCACAGAUAUCCCCCCACCUCGUCUUCCGUCUUCCGCCCAGGACUCUUCCCCCUGCUCUCCUCAGGCACCAAUCUCCUGUCUGGAAUCCCACUCAAUCAUGUAUUUCCUUCUCCUCUCUCAGAGCUGGUGGAACCAGGGAACAGCUGCUCCCUCUGCCCUCCGCCCAUGAGGAGGGAGAGACGGGCUGCAGCAGGCACUUAUAACGAUGUAAAUUAUUAGGCAUUUUUGGUUGGAUUUCUUUUGUAAUAAACUAUUUUUGUAACAUA